AACACAUGCAAGUCGAGGGGCAGCAUUUCUUUUUGCUUGCAAACUGGAGAUGGCGACCGGCGCACGGGUGAGUAACACGUAUCCAACCUGCCGAUAACUCGGGGAUAGCCUUUCGAAAGAAAGAUUAAUACCCGAUAGUAUAAUGAAACCGCAUGGUCUUAUUAUUAAAGAAUUUCGGUUAUCGAUGGGGAUGCGUUCCAUUAGGCAGUUGGUGAGGUAACGGCUCACCAAACCUUCGAUGGAUAGGGGUUCUGAGAGGAAGGUCCCCCACAUUGGAACUGAGACACGGUCCAAACUCCUACGGGAGGCAGCAGUGAGGAAUAUUGGUCAAUGGGCGCAGGCCUGAACCAGCCAAGUAGCGUGAAGGAUGACUGCCCUAUGGGUUGUAAACUUCUUUUAUAUGGGAAUAAAGUUUUCCACGUGUGGAAUUUUGUAUGUACCAUAUGAAUAAGGAUCGGCUAACUCCGUGCCUGCAGCCGCGGUAAUACGGAGGAUCCGAGCGUUAUCCGGAUUUAUUGGGUUUAAAGGGAGCGUAGGUGGACAGUUAAGUCAGUUGUGAAAGUUUGCGGCUCAACCGUAAAAUUGCAGUUGAUACUGGCUGUCUUGAGUACAGUAGAGGUGGGCGGAAUUCGUGGUGUAGCGGUGAAAUGCUUAGAUAUCACGAAGAACUCCGAUUGCGAAGGCAGCUCACUGGACUGCAACUGACACUGAUGCUCGAAAGUGUGGGUAUCAAACAGGAUUAGAUACCCUGGUAGUCCACACAGUAAACGAUGAAUACUCGCUGUUU
RNAcentral lists this ribosomal RNA (787 nucleotides) under uncultured organism. RNAcentral's name for it is "SSU rRNA". It matches the Rfam family "Bacterial small subunit ribosomal RNA", at positions 50 to 825 of the family's 1533-position model. The record is from RNAcentral.